RNAcentral lists this ribosomal RNA (1027 nucleotides) under uncultured organism. RNAcentral describes it as "bacterial SSU rRNA". It matches the Rfam family "Bacterial small subunit ribosomal RNA", at positions 356 to 1376 of the family's 1533-position model. The record is from RNAcentral.
AGGGAAUCUUCGGCAAUGGGGGCAACCCUGACCGAGCAACGCCGCGUGAGUGAAGAAGGUUUUCGGAUCGUAAAGCUCUGUUGUAAGUCAAGAACGGGUGUGAGAGUGGAAAGUUCACACUGUGACGGUAGCUUACCAGAAAGGGACGGCUAACUACGUGCCAGCAGCCGCGGUAAUACGUAGGUCCCGAGCGUUGUCCGGAUUUAUUGGGCGUAAAGCGAGCGCAGGCGGUUUGAUAAGUCUGAAGUUAAAGGCUGUGGCUCAACCAUAGUUCGCUUUGGAAACUGUCAAACUUGAGUGCAGAAGGGGAGAGUGGAAUUCCAUGUGUAGCGGUGAAAUGCGUAGAUAUAUGGAGGAACACCGGUGGCGAAAGCGGCUCUCUGGUCUGUAACUGACGCUGAGGCUCGAAAGCGUGGGGAGCGAACAGGAUUAGAUACCCUGGUAGUCCACGCCGUAAACGAUGAGUGCUAGGUGUUGGAUCCUUUCCGGGAUUCAGUGCCGCAACUAACGCAUUAAGCACUCCGCCUGGGGAGUACGACCGCAAGGUUGAAACUCAAAGGAAUUGACGGGGGCCCGCACAAGCGGUGGAGCAUGUGGUUUAAUUCGAAGCAACGCGAAGAACCUUACCAGGUCUUGACAUCCCGAUGCUAUUUCUAGAGAUAGAAAGUUACUUCGGUACAUCGGUGACAGGUGGUGCAUGGUUGUCGUCAGCUCGUGUCGUGAGAUGUUGGGUUAAGUCCCGCAACGAGCGCAACCCCUAUUGUUAGUUGCCAUCAUUCAGUUGGGCACUCUAGCGAGACUGCCGGUAAUAAACCGGAGGAAGGUGGGGAUGACGUCAAAUCAUCAUGCCCCUUAUGACCUGGGCUACACACGUGCUACAAUGGUUGGUACAACGAGUUGCGAGUCGGUGACGGCGAGCUAAUCUCUUAAAGCCAAUCUCAGUUCGGAUUGUAGGCUGCAACUCGCCUACAUGAAGUCGGAAUCGCUAGUAAUCGCGGAUCAGCACGCCGCGGUGAAUACGUUCCCG